AAAAAAAAUGCUUCGAUUCUGUUCUUAUUCAUCUCAUUAACUCGUAUAGUCCAAUAAGGCCAUUCCUUUACAACAAUAAAGCAAGUGUGACCUUGAUAAUUCUCAGCAACCUGUAUGUUGAACCAUAGCCUUCAGAAGAGUUAUUUUAGCCCUGAAUCCAGGAAUUAACUCCACUUCUGUGAUGAUCAAAGUAAUAGUACGCAGAAAUUUAAGAUCUUAAGUCAUAUUAUAAUAGGGUUUAUCUUUUAAUUUCAAACUUUCUUAACUAAUUCACUACUCAAGUAACUGAUUGUAA
RNAcentral lists this unclassified non-coding RNA (295 nucleotides) under Hevea brasiliensis (rubber tree). The record is from RNAcentral. Lineage: Eukaryota; Viridiplantae; Streptophyta; Magnoliopsida; Malpighiales; Euphorbiaceae.